RNAcentral lists this unclassified non-coding RNA (1941 nucleotides) under Caenorhabditis elegans. RNAcentral describes it as "Non-coding transcript of protein-coding gene ags-3". The record is from RNAcentral. Lineage: Eukaryota; Metazoa; Nematoda; Chromadorea; Rhabditida; Rhabditidae.
AUGCAGGACCGUUCCUGCUACAAGCUCACACAGGAAGGGGAACGUCUUUUUCGCAUGCAAAAGUAUGAGAAAGGCAUCGACUUGUUGAAAAAAGCGUUGGAAGUAGGCACAGAUGAUUUUUCAUUACUCUCGGCUAUCUAUUGUCAGCUCGGAAAUGCACACACAAUGCUUAAAGAUUAUGAGCAAGCUCUCAAGUUCCAUACGUAUGACAUUCUUGUUGAAAGAUUGCUUGGAAACAAGGAGGGAGAAGCAAAGUCGUGUGCCAACUUGGGAAAUAUAUUCAAGAUGAAAGGCGCUUACAACGACGCGCUCACCUUCACAUUCAAACAGCUGGAUUUUGCCGAAGAGUUGGGCGAUAGACCUACAAUGAGACUUCUGAAUGAAAUCUAUGUCAUUUGAAAGGGGACCUGCAAACUAGGUUACCACAAAAAAUUUAGCGGCAGAAGAGCACGUUGAACUACCAUAAAAACCAUCUGAAAAGGAUCAAUAUUUAAUAGAGCUGUGAAAUUGCAUCCAAUGUUGAUUUUUGCGAACUUCUAGUGGUUUUCGGAAAGUUUACAGGUUCUCAAAUCUCGAGCUUAUUACAACAUUGCGACGAUUUAUGUGGAGCGAGGGCGAUGCACAAAACUGGAAGCUGCUGAAGAGAAAAAUGACGCCAAAAAUGCAGAAGCCACUUCGGAUUUUGAGAAUGCUGCCAAGUACUUUAUGCUAAAUCUGGAGAUGUCGGAAAAAUCGGAAGAUGCGCUGACGAUGGGGCGAUGCUACGGCAGCUUAGGAAAUACUUAUUAUUGCCUUGGAGACUAUGACCAAUCUAUCCACUUUCAUAAACUUAGACUUGAAUUAUCUCAACAAUACGGAGACCGAGCGUCGAUGCGUCGCGCUCACGCCAAUAUCGCAAAUUGUCACGCGUUGAAGUCGAACAUGCCGCUGGCUAUUCAGCAUUAUAAACUAGCUUACAACCUGGCCAUUGAGAUUGGCAACAAAACAGAGGAAGCUCAAAUGGCUUACUCGUUGGCCAACGCCCUCUACAUUGGUAAAGAAGUCCAGAAAGCAAUCACCUAUUUCCAACGUCAUCUUAAAAUUGCACGGAGUUUAGAAGACAUAUCGGGACAACUGCGAUCAUACUACUCACUUGCGCUGUCAUUCAACAACCUUUGUGAACGUCGCAAGGCACUUUAUUUUCUGGUCCUCGCAAAACGGAGUUCUCUUCAGGUGAACGACACCAGUGCGCUCACUGACAUUGAUAACUUGCUCAACGAAAUUCUGGAGGCCGGACAAGAAGACGUGCUUGUUGACGAUAUCGAGCUCAUAAUUGACGAGUCAGCCGACCCAGCACCUGCUGAUAUUGAGCAUCGCGAACUUCGUCUUACCUACUUUCAAAAACGCAAUAUUCACGAUAAACCAGUCAAUACGCCGGAGGAUCCGCUCGCCGAGGACCGCUACGAGAAGGAAGAGUUCUUUGAUAUGCUUGCAAAGCUGCAGUCGAAACGGAUGAACGAUCAACGUGUCGACGCGUCAGUUCUCAGUUCAAAUCUUGACUUUCGAGUUCGCCAAGUGGACACUGAGCCCGACAACUCAUCGACUGAUGGUUCUGAGGUACUGAUCGAUUUGCUUCUGAACGCUCAAGGACGAAGAAUGGAUGAUCAGCGGGCGCCAUUCUUGCCGGGGCUCAAUCCGAACGGACAGAUUAUUCUUCGCAGACUCAAUACAGAUCCCGGAAACGAGGAGCUAGAUGAACAUCUUGUCGAGUGGCUGAUGCGUGUUCAAGGCGAACGGCUUGACGAGCAACGUAGCGAGCUGCCACCUAUCAAACCAGAGGGUCAGGAAGAAGUUGACAAGAAAAAAGAAGAAGAUGUGACCGCAAUUGUGAUGCGCAUGCAAGCCGGUCGCCUCGAGGACCAAAGAGCACAUCUUCCAAACAUUCCAACCUCAAAGAAUUGA